RNAcentral lists this ribosomal RNA (323 nucleotides) under uncultured eukaryote. RNAcentral's name for it is "partial 18S ribosomal RNA". It matches the Rfam family "Eukaryotic small subunit ribosomal RNA", at positions 1470 to 1796 of the family's 1831-position model. The record is from RNAcentral.
CCCUUAGAUGUUCUGGGCCGCACGCGCGCUACACUGACGAUGGCAACGAGUUUUUCCUUCGCCGAAAGGUGUGGGUAAUCUUUUGAAACAUCGUCGUGCUGGGGAUAGAUCAUUGCAAUUUUUGAUCUUGAACGAGGAAUUCCUAGUAAACGCGAGUCAUCAGCUCGCAUUGAUUACGUCCCUGCCCUUUGUACACACCGCCCGUCGCACCUACCGAUUGAAUGUUUCGGUGAAGAUUCCGGAUAGGACUGAUUUGAUUUAUUUCAUUUCUGACCUAAAAGCUAUCUAAACCUCAACAUUUAGAGGAAGGUGAAGUCGUAACA